This 1459-nucleotide long non-coding RNA is filed under the name Salmo salar (Atlantic salmon). RNAcentral's name for it is "lncRNA (ENSSSAG00000098562.1)". Lineage: Eukaryota; Metazoa; Chordata; Actinopteri; Salmoniformes; Salmonidae. The record is from RNAcentral.
GAGCAAAGUUAUAAAUAGGCCGAACAUCACAGCUUAUAUUUCACUAACCUUUGUCUCGGUGUGGGUUUGGGGCGGCGACGUCCUUCUGUUAUUGUCUCCUGGUUCUGGUUCUGGUUCUGUCUCUUCCCCGGUCCUCAUCUGGUACUCCAAUGUUGCCGGAUGUGUAUAUAAUUAUUUCAAAAGUUUAUUGUAAAUAAAUAAAAAAUAUUGUUAUAUUUAUUGGUGGCAGUCAAGGCUGUUGUUGUCCUUCAAUAGCAUGAUAACGAGUUAGUCCCAACGGGUCCCUUCCAGUCCUCUGUCAGUCAAAGCCUGGACAUGUAAUGUUCCCAGUCUGUCUCUUUCUGUCUCCUGUUCUUCUCAUGGACCUGAGAGGAGGGGUAGUUCUGUUCUCAUGGACCUGAGAGGAGGGGUAGUUCAGUUCUUCUCAUGGACCUGAGAGGAGGGGUAGUUCUGUUCUUCUCAUGGACCUGAGAGGAGGGGUAGUUCAGUUAUUCUCAUGGACCUGAGAGGAGGGGUAGUUCUGUUCUUCUCAUGGACCUGAGAGGAGGGGUAGUUCUGUUCUCAUGGACCUGAGAGGAGGGGUAGUUCUGUUCUUCUCAUGGACCUGAGAGGAGGGGUAGUUCUGUUCUUCUCAUGGACCUGAGAGGAGGGGUAGUUCUGUUCUCAUGGACCUGAGAGGAGGGGUAGUUCUGUUCUUCUCAUGGACCUGAGAGGAGGGGUAGUUCUGUUCUCAUGGACCUGAGAGGAGGGGUAGUUCUGUUCUUCUCAUGGACCUGAGAGGAGGGGUAGUUCUGUUCUCAUGGACCUGAGAGGAGGGGUAGUUCUGUUCUUCUCAUGGACCUGAGAGGAGGAGUAGUUCUGUUCUUCUCAUGGACCUGAGAGGAGGGGUAGUUCUGUACUCAUGGACCUGAGAGGAGGGGUAGUUCUGUUCUCAUGGACCUGAGAGGAGGGGUAGUUCUGUUCUCAUGGACCUGAGAGGAGGGGUAGUUCUGUUCUCAUGGACCUGAGAGGAGGGGUAGUUCUGUUCUUCUCAUGGACCUGAGAGGAGGAGUAGUUCUGUUCUCAUGGACCUGAGAGGAGGGGUAGUUCUGUUCUCAUGGACCUGAGAGGAGGGGUAGUUCUGUUCUCAUGGACCUGAGAGGAGGGGUAGUUCUGUUCUCAUGGACCUGAGAGGAGGGGUAGUUCUGUUCUUCUCAUGGACCUGAGAGGAGGGGGGUAGUUCUGUUCUCAUGGACCUGAGAGGAGGGGUAGUUCUGUUCUUCUCAUGGACCUGAGAGGAGGAGUAGUUCUGUUCUCAUGGACCUGAGAGGAGGGGUAGUUCUGUUCUCAUGGACCUGAGAGGAGGGGUAGUUCUGUUCUCAUGGACCUGAGAGGAGGGGUAGUUCUGUUCUCAUGGACCUGAGAGGAGGGGUAGUACCAGAUGUUUCUAUAUUUGACUUCAAAAUAAAAUCUGCUUUGU